RNAcentral lists this long non-coding RNA (1461 nucleotides) under Chinchilla lanigera (long-tailed chinchilla). RNAcentral's name for it is "lncRNA (ENSCLAG00000027453.1)". The record is from RNAcentral. Lineage: Eukaryota; Metazoa; Chordata; Mammalia; Rodentia; Chinchillidae.
GCUGGCUGUCUGAAGAGGAGAGGGUGAAGGAAAUAUGGCGGGAAGAACACCCCCCUCCAUCCUCGCCGCAGCCCACCCAGCCGCGGAAUCGCAUGCGCACUGGGGACCUGGAGGAAAGGGCUUUUGUUGGGAAAUCAGGCCCACCGGAGGGGUCCGCGCAUGCGCAGGCUCCCCAGCCGCAGGGGGUGCGCGGAGAAGAGGGGCGGGGUGGUCUGAGCUGCUGUGCUGGCAGCAGUAGGCGAGGGCGCGGCUGCGGGGUUCCUGGUGCUGAGCACGGACGCCAUUGGAGCCCCAGGGAAGCCGGGAGCUGCCCGGGAGCCUGCCAGCUCAACCGAUGUGACAGACCCUGAGCCGAAGAAACAGCCUGCCACCGGGUCCCGCCCCCUGCCCCUGAGGCAGAGCUCUCAGCUCCCUGGGAGCCCCAGCAUGGCUGAGGGAAGCUACAGUGUGCAAUCUGGAAACUCCAGUGUCGAAGACAUGGAUGAGGGGAGCCACCAAGUCAGGGUGGCAGAGAUGGUUGGAGGCAGCGACUAUGAAGAGUUUGGUGCCUUUGGUGGCUAUGGCACACUCACCAGCUUUGACAUCCAUCUGCUCAGAGCCUUUGACACCUUGGGUUCCGGCUUUCACAUCUUAGCGAAUGAGCCCUGGGAGCUGGAAAGUCCUGUGCUGGCUCAGACCCUGGUGGAGGCAUUGCAGCUGGAUCCAGAAACCCUUGCCAAUGAGACCGAGGCCCAUGCCGCCAGUGUCGCCCGCUCUGCCGCCUCCAACCGAGCCGCUCGGGCCGCUGCCGCUGCCGCCCGCAGGUCCAUCCGUCAGGUGGUGGCUCACCACAUGGUGCCCACACAGCCGGCCACAGGAGACGGUGCCCAGCCUGGGACAUACUCUGAGGCUCAGGGGCCCGCCCCGGAGGCAAUCCUGGUCUCACCUCCGACAUCCCAGAUGUCAGUCGUCAGUGAGAUGGCCGCCCCUGGGGCUCCAGCAGUCUCCACGCAUUCCCAGACGGCCUCCCUGGACCAGGCGGCUGCUGCCAGGGGUCCAAGUACUGCCUGUGCUGGGGGUCCUAGUCCCGCCUGUGCCGAGGGUCCCAGUACUGCCUGUGCCGAGGGUCCUAGUACUGCCUGUGCUUUCUCUCAGGCUCCAAGUGCCAGUGAAACGGAUGCCACCUGGCCCCAGGCAGGCUUCCUGGGCCAGAAGGAUGUCUUUGAUUUCACUCAGCCAGCAGGUGUCAGUGGCAUGGCCUUCACCCGCCCCAAGAGACCUGCUCCAGCCCAAGAGGCCGCCACGGAGGACCCUAGUGCCGCCUCUGGUGGGCCUCAGGCAGCACCUGCCCGGGAAGCGGCAGCCACCGGACCCAAGAACACCAAAUCUGGGAAGGCUGUGGCCAAGACUCGGUGGGUGGAGCCUCAGAAGGUUGUGACCUCAGCGGCUGCCAACAGCAAGACGGCCACAAGCAUCCCUGAG